RNAcentral lists this ribosomal RNA (394 nucleotides) under uncultured bacterium. Its description in RNAcentral is "bacterial SSU rRNA". It matches the Rfam family "Bacterial small subunit ribosomal RNA", at positions 505 to 898 of the family's 1533-position model. The record is from RNAcentral.
GUGUCAGCCGCCGCGGUAAGACGAACCGUGCGAACGUUGUUCGGAUUCACUGGGCUUAAAGGGCGCGUAGGCGGGUGAUCAAGUCCGGGGUGAAAUACUCCAGCUUAACUGGAGAAUAGCCCUGGAUACUGGUCGUCUUGAGGGAGGUAGGGGCAUGUGGAACUUCCGGUGGAGCGGUGAAAUGCGUAGAUAUCGGAAGGAACGCCGGUGGCGAAAGCGAUGUGCUGGACCUCUUCUGACGCUGAGGCGCGAAAGCCAGGGGAGCGAACGGGAUUAGAUACCCCGGUAGUCCUGGCCCUAAACGAUGGGUACUAGAUUGUAGACUUAACAUGGGUUUACAGUCGAAGCAAAAGUGUUAAGUACCCCGCCUGGGGAGUAUGGUCGCAAGGCUGAA